CAGUGUCCUACUGGCGUCUCAGUCGUGCUCACGUCGUGGUUGAUAGCUCAGUGUGGGAGGAAGGAAAAAACUCAGUCAACCAUCAGAAGUAUUGAUUGUUUAGAUAAAGAGAUCCAUCAUUUAGAAAACGAAAACAAUCAUUUAGAAAACGAGAACUACCCAUGGAAGAACCACAGUAAGAUAACGUGUGCAGCCUCAUUAACGGCAGACUGUCACUGAGGUAAUACAAGUACGCAAAGCCUCGCCGUAGAGAACCUCUGGCAGAGCCUUCGAGAAAUCCACGCCUCGCCUUGUACAUGACUCCAUCAUCAAACAGGUGAUUGUCUCACUGUUCGGACCCCAGUAUAGAACAGCUGUCCCGGCCCCGUAGAACAACUGCCCAGAACCCACUGUAAACCUCUGUAUGGUUCAAACCAUGAAUCAGGAUUGGAAUUCCAGCGACGCCCGAGGAUCUGGAAGGUUGUUUGGACCUUCCUUAAGUGUUACAUCACAAGACUUUAGUGUUGCUAAUGAUGGUCAAAGGUUAUAGUUUAAAUGUACGCAAGAUUACAAGUAAAAUCCAGAAUAUUGCCUUAUCUACUCCCGUAAACCGAGGUUAUUAAUGUAACUUUUUUCUAGGCGAAACUGUCACUGUGUCCGGGUACAAACUGUAAGUGAGUAAUAAGUUGACUGUGACGAAUCAUAAAAAGAUAGGAUGUAAGUAUCUGACACUCAUAGUGUAACCUAAGUCGUUGGCCACAGCCCUCGACCGCAGAUGCCAGAGGAAUGGCUACAGAGACUAACCUUCACUCCCUCCUGUUUCUGUUACUCCUGGUGGCGGGACUGUCUUAUAUGGCGUACUUGGUGCUCCUGCUGACAGAGGACCGUUGGACCGGGUGGGUGCUGCUCUACCCCUUUGCCUUCGUCGCCUUCAUGGUGCUGGGCAUCUGCUGCAUCAAUACCUGGGAACAGAAAUUUCCGUACAGUGAUGACGCUGCCGAGCAAGGGGUGAAACUCCUACAGGAAGUCUGACGAAAACAGGUGAUACACAGAGGUGGGUGAGGAAGGAACUGAUUCACACAAGGAGAUAAUAAGAAACGCUCGCAUGACGUGUGAAGACCGCUGGCAGGAAAGUAGCACAACGCAACUGAAGAGGAGGUUGAACGACAGACGAGACGCAACCAGGCAUAACCAUGUUCUCGUUUGUUUACUGCAAUACAACUUGUGAGAAAUCAGUGAUCGUUUAGUGGAGGGGAGUGUUAGUUUACGAGAGUGAAGUUAGAAGGACAGUUUUAAAGUGGACUGAUGAAAGACGACGAAUUGAUGAUCUAACACGAUGACUCAAAAUUUGUAGAGGGUUUUCUGCAGGGAGAUCAGAGUCAUAAGUUAUUGUGAAUAGAGUUUAGGGCGACCCGGCGACACACUACCGGAAAACAAUGUAAAAUUAAGUUUGCCUGGGUCAGCAUAUCCUGCUUUCUGGAGACAGUUAAGAGGAAAAUUAAUGGUCUGAAAUACUACAAAACUGUGUUUUGUUUUUUCUACAACC
This is a long non-coding RNA of Homarus americanus (American lobster), 1525 nucleotides long. RefSeq lists it as uncharacterized. The record is from RefSeq and is a predicted model, not a curated record. NCBI's taxonomy places the organism in Eukaryota, Metazoa, Arthropoda, Malacostraca, Decapoda, Nephropidae. The transcript has 3 exons.